Molecule: ribosomal RNA, 465 nt
Filed under: uncultured Klebsiella sp.
Lineage: Bacteria; Pseudomonadati; Pseudomonadota; Gammaproteobacteria; Enterobacterales; Enterobacteriaceae
Description: bacterial SSU rRNA
Rfam family: Bacterial small subunit ribosomal RNA
Source: RNAcentral
CCUACGGGGGGCUGCAGUGGGGAAUAUUGCACAAUGGGCGCAAGCCUGAUGCAGCCAUGCCGCGUGUGUGAAGAAGGCCUUCGGGUUGUAAAGCACUUUCAGCGGGGAGGAAGGCGUUAAGGUUAAUAACCUUGGCGAUUGACGUUACCCGCAGAAGAAGCACCGGCUAACUCCGUGCCAGCAGCCGCGGUAAUACGGAGGGUGCAAGCGUUAAUCGGAAUUACUGGGCGUAAAGCGCACGCAGGCGGUCUGUCAAGUCGGAUGUGAAAUCCCCGGGCUCAACCUGGGAACUGCAUUCGAAACUGGCAGGCUAGAGUCUUGUAGAGGGGGGUAGAAUUCCAGGUGUAGCGGUGAAAUGCGUAGAGAUCUAGAGGAAUACCGGUGGCGAAGGCGGCCCCCUGGACAAAGACUGACGCUCAGGUGCGAAAGCGUGGGGAGCAAACAGGAUUAGAUACCCGGGUAGUC